UACGGAGGGAGCUAGCGUUGUUCGGAAUUACUGGGCGUAAAGCGCACGUAGGCGGCUAUUCAAGUCAGAGGUGAAAGCCCGGGGCUCAACCCCGGAACUGCCUUUGAAACUAGAUAGCUAGAAUCUUGGAGAGGUCAGUGGAAUUCCCGAGUGUAGAGGUGAAAUUCGUAGAUAUUCGGAAGAACACCAGUGGCGAAGGCGACUGACUGGACAAGUAUUGACGCUGAGGUGCGAAAGCGUGGGGGAGCAAACAGG
This 255-nucleotide ribosomal RNA is filed under the name uncultured bacterium. Its description in RNAcentral is "partial 16S ribosomal RNA". It matches the Rfam family "Bacterial small subunit ribosomal RNA", at positions 524 to 776 of the family's 1533-position model. The record is from RNAcentral.